This 67-nucleotide transfer RNA is filed under the name Apicotermes occultus. RNAcentral's name for it is "tRNA-Asn". The record is from RNAcentral. Lineage: Eukaryota; Metazoa; Arthropoda; Insecta; Blattodea; Termitidae.
UUAACUGAAACCAAAGAAGGAGGUAUAUUAUUGUUAAUAAUAAAAAUGAAUUAAAGUUCCGGUUAAG